Zonotrichia albicollis (white-throated sparrow) is the source of this 7474-nucleotide non-coding RNA. The record is from RefSeq and is a predicted model, not a curated record. NCBI's taxonomy places the organism in Eukaryota, Metazoa, Chordata, Aves, Passeriformes, Passerellidae.
AUGUAUGUAUGUCUCACCUGCUGGUGUCACCUCCUCCAGAUCCUUUAGACCUUUCUUGAUUUUCUCUCUGUGAACGAAAAAAAGCAGGAGUUUCACCCAGGCAGAGGCAGCAGGGCUCGUCCUGGCUGCUGGCACCGGUCAGGGCUGCCAAAGCCGGCUCACAGAAACCUGGACUGCUGCUGGCCAGGACAGCUGGCCAAAAGAGAACAAAGGCAACAUCAUGCCAGCUGUAUGGUAUUCCUGAAGGUAUCCACCGUCCCAAACCAUGUGCUUCCCGGCAGCCAGCCCUGAAGGUUCAAAACCCAGAAGAGUGUGCACGGCGGCAGCUUCUGGACGAAAGGGAGAGAGCAGAGGUCAUGUUGGUUUUGAGAAAGCUGAGAGGACACCAAAGGACUCUGACAGCAGUGCCACUGUCCUCUGCUGAGAGCGCUCGUUCCACACAACCAUCUCCCAGUUUCUGAUGACACAAUGCCAAUUUCCAACUCCGCUUUUUAUGUUUAUCAAAUCCUCCCGGUGCCCACUGACUGCCUUAGCCCUGAGAAAGAAUGCAGGGCCUUCCAGAGUGAGACUGGGCUUGUUCCUACGACCAGAGAGCUGUGAGACUUGAAAACUUCUUCCCUAAAAGCAUUCAGGGAAAUGUCAUGGUAAAAAGCAAUGCUGUACAAACUGCUUUUAUUAAGGAAUUCAAUCUCUUUUUUCUUCCAUUUAUUUUUAAGAAGGUCACCUGUCUCUGCACAAGGUUGCAGGGAAUCAUAUCUAAUUAGCAGUGGAAAGCACUUAGGAGUUGCCAGAUGCUCUGGAGGCUCAAGACAGGAAUUUUCCCAAGGUAAGCUGUAACAUCUCUCCUGCAUGAUUUUACAUUUUAUUCAUCACAAUUUGAAUAUAUUCACUAACUUGGUAAUUUACUGUACAUGAGAAUCACCAUUAAUUAAUCAGGUUAUAGUUAGUAAGGACUUAACACUUGAAAAGCUGAAUGACCAUAUGUUUUCAGUCCACUGAUGUCACUGAUGCAGCUUAAAACUAUUGACAUCAAGGGAAUGUAAGUACUUCUUUUUCUUUUUUUUUCUUCUUUUUUUUUUUUUGGUGUAAUUCCAGACAAAACAACAAAACAACUUUCAAAAGUUUCUGUCGCCACCUGGACAGAAUUUUUAUAGAAGUUUACAGAAGAUUUGCUUUUGACAAGAUGACAAUAAGCUAUAUUUACCUAUAAAAGCUUAACUGGAUCAUCCUUUUCUUAGCAAGCCAAGAUUACAACUGCACUCUGCACUGGGUUUUCCUCAGCAAAACCUACCACACCAGCUCUCCCUUUGUGUGUGGUGAGGGAUUCGUUCAGUUUAUUCUGGGUUUUGUGGUAAGGUUUUUUAAAGCAAAGCACUGCAAUCCUCAGCUGUUUGUACAGAGCAGUCAGCCAGGAUUUGCAGCAGCUAUUUCAAGAGGAGCUGGGCUUGCCCGACAACACUGCUGACAGUAACAAAGUUGAUUAUACGUAAGUACAACAAAGGCGCUGUUACAUGGCAUGGGCUUCCUCUGCGUUUGAGCUUUAACAUUGCUCCCUUCCUUUUGACCUGCACUAUAUAUUAACGCAUAUGUUUACAUGUGUUCAAGAUUGUUUCUUUAUACAGAUCUCCAAACACAGAAUUUGAGCAGUACUCCAUCAGAAACUAGGCACAUGGUAUAUUGAAAAUCAAGUUUAACAAAAACUUCAAAUCACAUCUGAGAGUCAUUUAAGAAAUUCGUCGCCACGCUCCCGGACCUACAAGGGAAAACCAGAGCACAUCAGCGGCCUGAUCCGGGCUGACAUUUCGGAAGAAACUGACCAUAUUCGCGGCUGCGGACGUGAAUCAGACUGCAAAAAGGAUCUUGCUUUUCACUCCGCAGGAGGAGAUGGGGAAGUCGGAGUCAUCCUGCUGGAGAGUUUUCCUCUCAUCUCACUUCAGCCCCAUUCCUGCUGUCUCUGGACGGCUUGCUGUAGCCACAGCACUCUGACCUGACACAUCCGUGUCACGGUGCCUUCUCCACGCCAAUCCCAACACCAAGCCAAACCUCCCUAUGAUGCAAGCUGGAAACUUUACCAAAGCCCGUGGACCAGCAGUGGAUAAUGUCAGCCAGAGAUCUGGCUCACGGAGUUCUUAGUGCCUUUGAGCUAGCAAGGCCAAAGGGAUAUGAACCACACAUGGAAGUCUCAUGCUUUGUAAAAGGAAAGAGAAACCAGAGGGGCUCCAGCAAUUAUACAAGAUGCAGGAGCUGUUUGAGAGCUGCCUCCUGAAGGAUUAGCUACAAAUCCUUGUUCCCUUCACAGCUGUAGCCUUGUGUCUGUGUGCAUCCUGUAAAGCAGUGUAGAAAUGAAUAAAUAAAAAGGACAGCAUUAAGUAACACAGGAACUCUCGUGUCCAUGUGGUACUGCCUGCAUCAUCCAGAUGGAAAGUAUCUGUCUAGACAAAUCUGGGAAUUAUGCAAGCUUGGAAUUCCUGUAUAGCUCUUCCUUUCCAACAUCAUGAAGCAUUUGCAGUGCCCACCGAAAAUACAGAAAUACAGGGGAGAAAGAAACCCUUCAAUCCCAGCAGCCAGGAAACCUAAACACUGGCAGUAUGUUGGAUGAGAGAAGGUCUAGGUGCAGGAAUAUGGAGCAGUGUCCCUGCUAUGUGCAGGCUGACUCAUCCCCGAGGAGCCAGGAUGGUCCCUGGUGCUCACUCCUGUCUCAGCAGAAGCAGAGGAGGCUCCCUUGAGCUUCUUGUGGUUCUCUGCUGCCUGAUGCCCUGGACAAGGCACAGAGCUGCUUGUUUCCACUUUUCCAGAGCUGUUUGUUUCCACGGUGCUCAGGCAAGCAGAAGGAAUGAAAACAAAGAGGCAAAGAUGGGCUGUCCGGUGCAAACCACAACAGCAUAAAAAUAAAUCACUCCGCCUGGAAGAGCCAAAAAAAAAGCAGGACAGAAAACAUGGAAAUCCCAUUCUGGCCCGGGAGUUGCUGCUGGCUCUGAGCAACACCCAGGGAUCACUGGGGCUGGGAGCACAACUCUAGAGUUGCAGUGACCCUUUUUGGUGUUCUUGGGAAACAACGGCCCGGCCAGAGACAGAAGAAUGGAGCAGCCAGGAACUCUGCCUGCAGAGCAGUGUAACCCAGGGCAGGGAUGACCCAAUUCUCAAUAUUGUGGAGAAAAGUCAUUUUUUAAAAAGCCCAGGUCGUGAUCCAGCAGUCAUCCGGUUUGUGGCAGUUUUAUCACUGACUCCAGGGAAGCAGGUUCAAACCUUCCAAGGUGCAUCCAAACAGAAACGUCCCUUGUGGUCAGUUUGGGGUCACACUGGAGGAAAAGGGGCUGAUGUUUGUACCCUGGCCCCUUCAGUGCUGCAGAGGAGAGUGAGAGAGAGCAUUGUGUCAGUCCUGUCCUCCCAGGCCCAGGAGAGAAAGAGUAAAGAGCAACUGGGAGCCUGAGAGAUAAAACAACGGCUUGUACCACUGUUUGGGGGCAAUCAGGGCAAUAUUUAUGCAGGGCCAGGGGGCUGCAGCAGGACAUCACAUCAUGCCUGAGCCACCGUUGGAUCAGCAGCCCGGAAAGCAGAUGUGCCAAUUUCCUGUCCUUGAUGAUGAUGGGCCCUAAUUACGCCAGAGCUGUGGCAAUGUCCUUUCUUGUGUAUGACCCCUAAUUUGGUUUCAUGAAGUCGUCUGUGCCAGGUUCUUCCGGCUGCAAGGCUGGGGCGAGUGACAGUCACGAAGAGCCCUGUGCUCUGUGUGCCCAAACACCUGGCCCGUGCUUUGAACCAACAAAAUUCAACUGGGAACAAACAAAAUUCGGGCAACUCACUGGGAGCUGGCCCCUGUGCUUGGCUGCAACACCGUUCCUCUGCCCUGUGUAAUCUCAGGUUAGUGAAGAUUUGUACACCAAACUCCACGUCUAGAGGAUGUGCUUGGGGAAGCACCACUUAGAGGAGGUAGGAUGGGUUUUCCAUUGCAGUCAGCUCCUGGUUCUGCUGCUGUCACACCGCAGGGCAGGAAGGGUGAGUGUGGGGGUGUUUGCUGGCUGACUCACGGCCCUGCCUGGUUAUUCACCAGCCAGAUCACACCGCUGACUUGGCAUGCAUCAGCCUUGCCCUGUUCAUGUGAGCUGCUCCCCUGGCUGCCUGGAUGACAAGUGUUUCUGAUCACCAGUGUAACUGUGCCGGCCUUAAGACAGGAGUGAUGUGGCUGGGAUGUGUCUUAUCUGACUGAUGUUUACAUCUGUGUGACUCUGAAUUACCUUUUCCUCAGUUUCUCCACAUGUAAGAAGUUUACCUUAUAUGCACUCAUGUCCUGUUAUCUGCCAUACAAUGUUUUAUCCUUUUCUCUUCUUCCUGUGUCUGGGCAGUUAAAAUGGGCGGAGGUGGAGCCGUGCUGACUGGAUUGCAGGCUUCAUUUUCUGCAGUGCCAUUGGCAGAGCAACAAAUGCUACAAGAGCAGGAAGGGUCGUAUCCCUCCCCCCAGGGACAAGCUGGUGAAGCAGCUUGGCAAGGACCUCGUAUGUUUUCAUGGAUCAGCUUAGCAGGGUGCAGAAGAUGGUGUGCUUGGCACUGCUUUUGAGGAACAGGGUCUUGUGCUCCUGCCCUAGCAAGAACUGUUGGAAGCAGCUGCACUUCAGAGAAUGAGCCAGAGUCACCGUGAGCUUGGAAAGGUACUUCGGUGCACAGAGACCAAAAGAAAUGGGAGAUGGUGUCAGCUGCAGAACAAGUACCUUCCCAGAGCUUCUGAGCAGAGGAAAAUGGAGCCUCUCUUCCCAGAGAGUGACGUUUGUAGCAGUGCCCAGCAGAUGCUCCUUCCUUCCACCUCUGGUCCCCACAUCUCUUGCAGGGCAGGGCGGGGAGUGCCCAGCCUGUCCUGGGUGUGCAGCUGCCCCUUUGGGCUGUGAACCAAGCUGUCAGGGCCAGCACUGAGACCGCUCUGUCACGAGCAGGGCGGCUGUCUGGGCUGCAGCAGGUAGACCCCCAGAGGGGCAGCACAUCUGAGCCAGGCUGGCCCCGAGCAGCAUGGAAAGGAGCCAUCCCUGAAGCAGGAUUGCCUUUGAGCUGGCAGCAGACGAGUGAUUGGCAUUGGGCAGUGCUGCUGAGACUCUGGCAGGCCGUUUAGCAGAGAACCUUGGCUAAUGAAUGUCAUCCACACCUAGCAGAUGUGCCACUGCCUGCCAUGCCAGAUUUUUGACAUAAUACAGGGCUGCUGGACACGACAGUGCUCGGGAAAAGCCAGGGAGGGACUUGUGCCUUCAACGUGGCGUUUGGUCCUUCUCGUGCUCUGCAAGAGAAACGAAACCUGCAGAAGGGAGGGAGGCACAGCCGCGUCUCCCGGCCCUCCACCCUGGUUUUAUCGAUACAGAUAUACAAGGCAAACCAAAGGUUUCGGCUGCUAUUCAGUGCCUCCUCAUUUGUCCCAGAGCCGUAACAGUGGUGCCCUUUCUCUUCUGGCUGCUUUUCCCUGCUUCUGGAGCAGCAGUUAUGGGAGAAGCAGAUGGCUACUGAUUGGGGACUGUCACUCGCUGCAGAGGCCAAGGCCUCCAGAGCCCCCGGGCAGCACCAGGAGGGGAGAGGCCAUCCCUGCAGGAGGAUUAUCCACCUGAGGGAACAUGCUGGGCACUCAGCUCCUGCCGUGCGUAACUCAGCGACCACCCAGGGUCCGGCGGGGAGCUGUGAGUGACAUCCUCACGGACCGACAGCAGAGAACUCCUGUGGCCACCAAAAAGACGUGCAGCCCACCACUCUGAGCUCAGGUGUCCUGAGGAGAUGGAGCCCAGCACUGCCCCACCCCAUGCCGGUCCCAGCAUGGGACGUGCUGGUGGCACACACAGGGACAGAAAGGCCCAAGGGUGUACAGGAGGCGGAGGCAGAUUUCAGUCCUGCAGGGAUUCCCCUUCUUCCAUUUCUCUCCCUUUUCUGUCCUUCGUAGCCAAUCAUGUCUUCUGUCAGGCUGUUAAAUGUUUGAAGGAAGGUGAAGCUAGGUGAAAGAUUUCCAGGUUUUAAACCUUGAUGCUGCUGUCAGGCCAAGAAAGGAGGAGAAGCAGAAAGCCUGAGAAAAAUAAUUCUGAAAUAGAAAGUCAGCAGUGAUAGAGGGCUAUGUAUGAACCGUUUAACCAGCCACCUGUAUUAUGUUUAGUGGUCUAGGGUUAUCGGUAAUAAAAAGAAUUCCUGUGACCCUUUGGUGAAUAUGCAAAUUAAUAUUUCUAACCAGACUCUGUGUUUGCUCGGAAGAAAGUAGAAGGGAAGUUCAGGCACAAUUAGGGAUGAGGAAAAAGCCAAGAUGCCUGUGGUGUAUCUGAACCAUGAGAAGGCAGGUAGGGAAAGUAUGUCAGCUUCCUGGGGAGCAGGAGCAUUGGCUCCUUGGGGUGAACCACAGCUAAAGGUGGUAUCUGGCCCUUUUUAGGGAUUUGUGGCAUUACAGUGACCUGAUCCGGGAGUCCAGCACCGGUGAGGUGGGGCUGAAGUGCCAGAGGGAAUAGGAAAGGACAGGAAUCCUCAGGUGUGUUUGGGAGCUGGGCUGGAAAAAAGGGAGAGCACUGGUGGUGUGCCUCAGCCGUGGCAGGGACCUGGAGGUACUCAAACGUUCAUCUGGAUGUGGGUCUGAGGACUCCCAGUGGGCUCCCCAUGCAGAAUGAGCAGUGGGGGAAGUGCCCCUCCUCUCUGUGUCCCAUGUCUGUAGCAUGAUGGGAUGUCUCUGGCACCCCAGCAUAGGGCUUCCCCAGGAAAGGAGCCAUCCAUGAGCCUGGUGACAAGCAGAAAGGAUGGUUUCAGUCAUUCAGCUGAGGCCCUGAUUUAUUUCCACUACAGAGGCCUGUCUGUCUCCAGGGAAGGGAACCGUUCUGGCUGCAUUUCUCCAGGCACCAGGAAAGCUUGUGGCUCCACAUUUCGUUUUAAGUGGAUUUUCCAUUCCACCUGGUGUGCACCUCCCGGGGAGCACAGCUGGCCCUGCCCCUGGCAGCAGCACGCAGAGAGGGUAGCAGAGCAGUUCAGAGCAUCCUUUUGUGCCCCCUCCUCACAGUGCCCUGGCCCCGCAGGAGUGAGUGUGGCUGGGCUUGUGUGCCUCUGGGAACUCGUGUGUUCUCUCAGUGAUGUUAUUUUAUGAGUGAUUUUAUUGCAGUCACCUGGGAGCUGACUCUCAGCUGUGUGUCUCCUCACGGGAGUAACCACACACCCGUAGGCCUGGUGCAUGCCACGACUCAGGCAGUGUUUCCCAAAGGAUGCGGGAGUGUUUCUGAGCACAGGUUGAGCAGCCUUUCCUGGUCCCUCUCCUCUCCCCUUCCUGCGUGAAGGUCAGGGAGGAAAGAAAAGACUGGCACUCCCGGGAGCAGGUUCUCUGUCCCUUGCAGCCGUCCCCACACUAACUCAUCGCGGGCAGAAGAGGGUUAUCACGGUGGUUAGUGAUAACGGUGUCCAAGCAUCCAGGCAUCCCCACUCUGCCAGCCCCGCAGCCACCUGAAUCUCCACCAGGUCCCCACCCUGGCUUCCGCGGGGAUUUGGC